RNAcentral lists this ribosomal RNA (248 nucleotides) under Arthrobacter sp. RNAcentral describes it as "partial 16S ribosomal RNA". It matches the Rfam family "Bacterial small subunit ribosomal RNA", at positions 346 to 607 of the family's 1533-position model. The record is from RNAcentral. Lineage: Bacteria; Bacillati; Actinomycetota; Actinomycetes; Micrococcales; Micrococcaceae.
AGGCAGCAGUGGGGAAUAUUGCAGCAUGGGCGCAGCCUGAUGCAGCGACGCCGCGUGAGGGAUGACGGCCUUCGGGUUGUAAACCUCUUUCAGUAGGGAAGAAGCGAAAGUGACGGUACCUGCAGAAGAAGCGCCGGCUAACUACGUGCCAGCAGCCGCGGUAAUACGUAGGGCGCAAGCGUUAUCCGGAAUUAUUGGGCGUAAAGAGCUCGUAGGCGGUUUGUCGCGUCUGCCGUGAAAGUCCGGGG